This 485-nucleotide ribosomal RNA is filed under the name uncultured bacterium. RNAcentral describes it as "bacterial SSU rRNA". It matches the Rfam family "Bacterial small subunit ribosomal RNA", at positions 327 to 805 of the family's 1533-position model. The record is from RNAcentral.
AACCGAGAACUCCUACGGGAGGCAGCAGUGGGGAAUUUUGGACAAUGGGGGCAACCCUGAUCCAGCAAUGCCGCGUGAGUGAAGAAGGUCUUCGGAUUGUAAAGCACUUUAAGUUGGGAGGAAAGGCAUUAACCUAAUACGUUGGUGUCUUGACGUUACCGACAGAAUAAGCACCGGCUAACUCUGUGCCAGCAGCCGCGGUAAUACAGAGGGUGCAAGCGUUAAUCGGAAUUACUGGGCGUAAAGCGCGCGUAGGUGGUUUGUUAAGUUGAAUGUGAAAUCCCCGGGCUCAACCUGGGAACUGCAUCCAAAACUGGCAAGCUAGAGUAUGGUAGAGGGUAGUGGAAUUUCCUGUGUAGCGGUGAAAUGCGUAGAUAUAGGAAGGAACACCAGUGGCGAAGGCGACUACCUGGACUGAUACUGACACUGAGGUGCGAAAGCGUGGGGAGCAAACAGGAUUAGAUACCCUAGUAGUCCGACUGAGA